Molecule: long non-coding RNA, 6595 nt
Filed under: Panax ginseng (ginseng)
Lineage: Eukaryota; Viridiplantae; Streptophyta; Magnoliopsida; Apiales; Araliaceae
Description: long non-coding RNA (PGIN_LNC011354)
Source: RNAcentral
AACAUGGGACUACCUAAAAUAGUAAUAAAGACUUUUAUCAUGGGACGGAGGGAGUUGGAGGUGCUCAUUUUCAGUAGAAUUAGGGUCAAAAUCCUUUCUUUUUCAUGGCAUACAGAAUCAUCAGUUAUUGUAUUCACUAAUGGAAUUUCAUUUGUAUAGCGUUGUUCAGCCUUGGUUAUUAAUAUGUCAUUACUUCUGCAGGUUUUGAGCCAAUUCUAGAAUUAUUGGUGUCUGAUGUCUCCUUUGUUGGGUGUUGAGGGGGUAGGUCAGGGCAAUGCAUCUUUAGUGGCUUCUCAAGUCUCCAUGGACUUUGUUUCUCCUACUGGCUUGGGAUUGAAAGAACGAAAUUACCUUGGAUUGUCAGAUUGUUCCUCAGUAGACAGCUCUCCGGCGUCGAGCAUAUCUGAUGAGAGUAAGAGUAAUCUAAAUCUCAAGGCUACAGAACUGAGGCUUGGUCUUCCUGGAUCUCAGUCCCCAGAACGAGAUCCAAAAUUUAAUCUGCUGGUCUUGGGAAAACUUGAUGAGAAACCCUUGUUUCCUUUGAUUCCUUCUAAGGAUGGUAUUUGCUGCUUAUCGCAAAAGACUGUUGUUUCGGGUAACAAAAGGGGGUUCUCUGACACUAUGGACGGCUUCUCGGAAAUAAAAGGUCCAUCAUUUACUGAAGGUAAUUGGAUGUUUAAUACGCCCAUAUCUGAUUCUGAAACUCCAAAACCUGUUGGACAUGGGAAGUUUUUGGGCAAUGCUAGUAUUAAUGUAAUGCUAUCGUCUGGGUCAGCUGUGACCCAUGCUGCUGGAAUGAAAGAGGUUCCUCUAAAAGCAUCCCAAGGGGGGCAUCAUUUGAAAACUGGAACUAAUAACAAAAUGAAUGGUUCUAACAACAAUAGCAGUGCACCUGCUGCCAAGUAAGAGCAAAUUAUUUACUUCUAGGGGUUUUGACCCAUAUAAACAUGGGAAAAGAGGAAUAAAGUGUGUUGAUACAGUGUAGCACUCCGGAGCACUUUGCUUACUAAUCUUAUUUUCUCCAUAGGGCACAGGUAGUUGGAUGGCCUCCUAUAAGAUCGUUUAGGAAGAAUACACUGGCUACCAGUUCAAAGAACAAUGAAGAAGUAGAUGGAAAACCAGGCCCUGGUACCCUAUUUGUUAAGGUCAGCAUGGAUGGCGCUCCUUAUCUGAGGAAGGUAGAUCUGAGAAUAUAUUCUACAUAUCAAGAACUUUCAUCUGCUCUUGAGAAAAUGUUCAGCUGUUUUACUAUUGGUGAGCUAUAUUUGAUACAGUUUGUGGUAUUUUGGUUAAAUAUUGGUUUCAGUUCUGUAUGAAGUUUAGCUAAUAUCAAAAUUACUACUCGUUUAUCAUAGAUUAGAAUUAACGGUUUUACAACAAUUCCAGGUCAAUGCGGAUCUCAGAGUACUUCUGGCAGAGAAAUGUUGAGUGAGAGCAAGUUGAGAGAUCUUUUGCAUGGGUCAGAAUAUGUGCUCACGUACGAGGACAAGGAUGGUGACUGGAUGCUUGUGGGAGAUGUUCCAUGGGAGUAAGAUCACAUCCAUUUCACUUGUUUAGUUUGGUUCUUGAUUCUCUCUCUUUCCUACAAUAGUAAAUAAUAGUGAUAUAGAAAUGUGCUAUUAUCUGUUGUCUUGCAUAAAGUGAAGGAGUAGAGAUUUGAUUAUCAUGUAUUAUAGGAAACUCUAGCAGUUCUCAUUGAUAGGGACAUGAGUUUAUUAAGUUGUCAUCUUUUUGCACUAAAUGUUGUGCCAUAUAAAGCCAUUGUUUAAGCUGUGCAAAGUGAAUCUAUACACAUGUCCAGUGAUCAUUGAUGUUAGUCUUGAUUUUCUGGGCAUGCAUAUGCACAUGCACAAAUUAUGUGGAGAACUGGCAGUACACAUGCUUUCUGUUUCUUCGUCAUUUGGCUAAAAUUUGGUUCAUCAUAUCAGAUUUCACGCUAAACAGCAUUUGAAAUGAGAAGUUUGAAACUUAAUUAAGCUCUCAAGUUAAUAAGAUGGUUUCAUUUCAAAACUUGCAUGUUAUAUCAAUCUUUUCAUUUUUUGAAAUAAAAUUGUUUAAGUGUAAGAAGGAAUAUCAUAGGCAAGCAAUUGCUACAAUAUGCACUGAAAAUAAAGCAGCGUGUUCGUAAAUUUCACACUGAUGAACUUAUCUUUGCCCAUGUAGUACAACUAUUUGACCCUAAAUAUUGGUCAAAUGGACCUUUACAGGAAAUUAACCUUGAUAUCAAACCAGAUGUCAGUAAUACAUGGGUUCUAUUUAUUAUUUGCUUCUUGGUUUUACAAGUAUUAUGUUAUGUGAUCAGGUGAUUAACUAUGUUACCUGGAAUUGACUUCCAUAUUUUUUAUGCUUUUCUCUCUAGAUAGUAGCUCUUUGUAGUCUGUUCAUUUCAUAUAAACCCUGGAUAUAUUGAAGGUGUCCAACCUAUCCCAGCUUGAUCAAAAUUAAUGUCAAUGAGAUGCUGUGUUGAGGUUCAUUAAGAACUGCCUGAUGACUGUAAACUGGACUAGAUGUAAGCUGUUUAGUUCCUCUCUUUUCACUGUGCUAAUUAUCUUGCUGGUUUUCAUAGGAUGUUUAUCGAUUCUUGCAAGAGGCUGAAAAUCAUGAAGGGCUCUGAUGCUAUUGGAUUAGGUGUGUACUAUUUGUUAAUCAAUUUUUUUACCAUUUAUACAAAAUCUCUGCAUCGAGACUAGGAAAAAGGAUUGCAUGUUAUUGUAUAUAGUACCUGGUUGUAUCAUGGAGAUGUCAAUUGCACCUCGUAGAUGUUUAAAUUGUGGUAAUUGAUGUAGUAAUACAUGUUUUGGUCUCUACCCGCUAGAAACUAAAUUUGUUGCGAGUAGUUUUGAGAUUACCCUGCUUCUGAAUUGUAACUUCAGUGUGUCUGAAAAUUAUCUUUAUUAUGAAUUUGCAUUUUCUUCUGUUUCUUUUGUUAAACAAGUGAGAAAAGCUGUUACCUCAUUUUACAUCAUGAUGACAUGACAAAGAAUUAUAAACAUUUUGUUGUUGGUUUUGGUCCACAGCUCCCAGGGCCAUGGAAAAAUCCAAAAACAGAAACUAGGUUUUACGAGGGCAUAAUGAACUGCUUUCCAGCUGCUUAGUCUGAAGUGGAUGGACAGAACAGAAGGUUAAAUGGUUUGCAGAAUUAUUGAAGGUGACAGGAUAGCUUGGGCUGGACUGCGGAUCACGGUCUUUAGAUGCCUUUCUUGGAUCUAUAUAAUGUUGAGAAGAUUAAUGCUUGUGAAGUUAAUAUUUCUUUAUAUGAAUCCGUAGUGUUAAGUGCGAUUUAUUUUGAUGAAUGUUUGAUAAAACCUGGUGAAAGUUGUGGUUUCUGACCUAUUUACUUUUAUUAACUGUACUAUGAUAAUGUAUCCUGGUGUUAUCUAAUAUACGGGCAAUGCUGGUGGUGGAACAUUGGAAACGAGAAAGUAUUGCAGAUGGCGUCUCAGCCUUGACAAGGAAAGGUUGGCUUCUAUAUUCCUGAAGAACGAGAGUUAAAAGGAUCUGGUAAAAUAUUUCUAACCUAGUGUUAAGUUCUUCGUAAGCUGCGAGUGAAACAGAGGAGGAACGGAAAACGGGUGGAGAUGGAGUAAAGAAAUUGUAGCUCAUUUCUUCACUCUGUAUUUUAUAGGUUCAACUUGAAAAGUGUGCUCAGGUCAUGACUUUUAACGUAUUGAUUGAGGUUCCAACAUCGAACGGAUUGCUGCGAAUUUACUUGGAAUUCAAACGUAGUGUAACGUGUUAGCAGUCGUUUUGUCCAAGUUGAAAAUAUAAGGGUUGUAUAUAUAUGCAAUUAGGCACUCACCCAAGUCUCAAGGUCUUGUUACCCAAACAAAAUCAUGUCUGUACAUAGGUCCUUCCCCUUCAACUCCAAUAGUCUAAAAAAAAUAGGUUAGAUUGAACUACAUUCCUGACUAGGUGUUUGGUCAGAGACUUUCCGGAAAAAAGUAAUAGUAAAAACGAUGCCUCCUUUGCAUACAAUCUGUUUGCCCUAUAAGGAAAUGAUAAAAAAAAAUGUUACCCAGUAUAAAUUAAUUAUUUGAAGCAUGAAUCACUCUCCACUCGAAAUUAAAUAUUAAAAAGAAAACAGAGAAUUAGGAGGGGAGGGGAGGAGAGGAGAGAUUCCAAAAUCACUUUCUUGUGGGAAAUAGAUAUUUCUUGAUUUCUACUAAUCAAAAGUGGGAUUUUAGUGCAUCCUUAAUCAGCAUCAACUAACUACUUACAUAACUACAAAAGCAGCCUAUUAUUAUAUUUAUGGGUCAAACUUUGUCAUGUAUUUGGGAUUCAAAAGAUGAUCAUUUAGUCCAUGAAUUCAACCCCAAGUAGUUUCUUUGUCAGAUUCAAUGUUCAAGCAUUUUAGAAAGAAAACCUCUAAAUUAAAAAAAGUUGGAAGUGGGUAGGAACAGAACAANNNNNNNNNNNNNNNNNNNNNNNNNNNNNNNNNNNNNNNNNNNNNNNNNNNNNNNNNNNNNNNNNNNNNNNNNNNNNNNNNNNNNNNNNNNNNNNNNNNNCACACACACACACACAUAUAUAUAUAUAUAUAUAUAUAUAUAUAUAUAUAUAUAAGAAUUGAUUAAGAAAUCAGUGAUAUAUAUAUUCGUGGCAAUUAUUUAUCCAGGCUGGCAAAACCAACACCACUUAGAUUGCAUUAUUAUGUCAUCCCAAAUGUUCAAGUAACUAAAAUUAAAUAGGUUAUAACUACAACUGCUCAUGACUAAUUAAUUAUAGUAAGUUUUAGGUUUGGGUACACAGCUUGAUAUUCCCUCCGUCCACCUAAGAAUUCCAUUUCAAAAGAAUGAUGCGUGUCGUCUUAGGAGUAAUAAUAAUUAAACCUUAAAACGCAUUUGGGUUUAAACUUGAAAACAUUAUAUUAUUAUACUUCCUAUAUUCCAUAAAAUAAAAUCAAAUAAAUAAAUAAAUAAUUAAUUAAUGGGAGUCUCCUAGUAGGUAGGCCUCAGAGAUUGAUCUCUCCUCCACUUCUUACCUCAUUAAAUAUUUUGUACAAAUAAUAAAUGCCAAGCUUCACAUCACACAUGUAUGUAUGUAUGUAUUACAUGCAUGUGCCUGAUCGAAGAUGCCAAAUUGCAUGCUAGCAUAGCACCGAUGGCUACAGGCGUGGGAACAUAUAUAUCUAUCUUCUGGUUAGGGUAAUACUUUCUCUUCCUGUGAAGAUUAUUUCAUGUACGUGUUUCUUCCACCGCCCCAUCUCAUUUUCCUUCCUGCUCAGAUUGAGACUCAUCCGUUGAGAGUUACGUUACUAGUACAAAUCUACAAAUGCCAACUGUUACGCCACAACACAAUUAUGUACUACUCUCUCCGUCCUUAAUUAAUUAUUUAACGUUUUAAAGGUAAACACACGAAUUAAGAUAAUAAUUGAAAAACAUUAAAUAUAGUACUCAAUUGUCUAUAAUACCCUUAAAUCUUUUGUUGGAAUAAAGAGAGCUUUGUUAGGAUAAGGAGAGAGAAAGAGUUUAAAGUAUCAAAAAAAAUUGGCAGAGUAAUUAAUGAGGGAUAAUUUUGGAAAAAUUGUUAUUAAUUCUCCUAGAUUUUAACAAACGUCAAAUAAUUAGGGACAAAUGAAAAAUUCUAAAACGUCAAAUAAUUAGAGACGGAAGGAGUAUGUUUCUACAUUUGGAAACAAAGGGAAAGAAAUAAUUAAGCUCAACAGAAUAAUAUACAUAUAUAUAUAUAUAUAUAUAUAUAUAUAUAUCAAAAACUAAAUAAAAACUAGUGUACUUCUUGUGUGGAAGGAAAAUAUUUAUAUCCUAGCUAUCCUAUGGUCCAUACAGAUACUUCUUCAUCAAGGGCAGGCAGUAAAUUGAUCACCUGCCAAUUCUUUAUGAUUACAAUCAUGAUAAUUUAAGAGGCUGAUCAAAAACAGCAGCAGCUGCUAUAGAAUUUGGUGAAACGAAUGGUACUACUUUUCCUUGUUUAUUAUGUGAACAGGCCAGGCCAGGAUGUAGUAGUAAUUAAUUACAAAGAUUCAAUCCAUCUUGAUAUGAUAUGAAGUGAAGAUGCUUCCCAAAGUAGACUACAAAUUUCUAUUAAAAAAUACUCUGUUUUGAAAUUAUAUAUACUCCAUCCACAGCAACCGGUUGUUGGGAGCAACCUCUUUUGNNNNNNNNNNNNNNNNNNNNNNNNNNNNNNNNNNNNNNNNNNNNNNNNNNNNNNNNNNNNNNNNNNNNNNNNNNNNNNNNNNNNNNNNNNNNNNNNNNNNNNNNNNNNNNNNNNNNNNNNNNNNNNNNNNNNNNNNNNNNNNNNNNNNNNNNNNNNNNNNNNNNNNNNNNNNNNNNNNNNNNNNNNNNNNNNNCCUUUGUUGGGUGUUGAGGGGGUAGGUCAGGGCAAUGCGUCUUUAGUGGCUUCUCAAGUCUCCAUGGACUCUGUUUCUCCUACUGGCUUGGGAUUGAAAGAACGAAAUUACCUUGGAUUGUCAGAUUGUUCCUCAGUAGACAGCUCUCCGGCGUUGAGCAUAUCUGAUGAGAGUAAGAGUAAUCUAAAUCUCAAGGCUACAGAACUGAGGCUUGGUCUUCCUGGAUCUCAGUCCGCAGAACGAGAUCCAGAAUUUAAUCUGCUGGUCUUGGGAAAACUUGAUGAGAAACCC